RNAcentral lists this ribosomal RNA (407 nucleotides) under Acidobacteriota bacterium. RNAcentral's name for it is "Acidobacteria bacterium partial 16S ribosomal RNA". It matches the Rfam family "Bacterial small subunit ribosomal RNA", at positions 355 to 776 of the family's 1533-position model. Lineage: Bacteria; Pseudomonadati; Acidobacteriota. The record is from RNAcentral.
UGGGGAAUAUUGGGCAAUGGGCGCAAGCCUGACCCAGCAACGCCGCGUGAAGGAAGAAGGCUUUCGGGUUGUAAACUUCUUUUGUCGGGGACGAAACAAAUGACGGUACCCGACGAAUAAGCCACGGCGAACUACGUGCCAGCAGCCGCGGUAAUACGUAGGUGGCAAGCGUUAUCCGGAUUUACUGGGUGUAAAGGGCGUGUAGGCGGGAUUGCAAGUCAGAUGUGAAAACUGGGGGCUCAACCUCCAGCCUGCAUUUGAAACUGUAGUUCUUGAGUGCUGGAGAGGCAAUCGGAAUUCCGUGUGUAGCGGUGAAAUGCGUAGAUAUACGGAGGAACACCAGUGGCGAAGGCGGAUUGCUGGACAGUAACUGACGCUGAGGCGCGAAAGCGUGGGGAGCAAACAGG